UCGGGAAUAUUGCGCAAUGGAGGAAACUCUGACGCAGUGACGCCGCGUGCAGGAAGAAGGUUUUCGGAUUGUAAACUGCUUUAGACAGGGAAGAAAAAAUGACAGUACCUGUAGAAUAAGCUCCGGCUAACUACGUGCCAGCAGCCGCGGUAAUACGUAGGGAGCAAGCGUUAUCCGGAUUUAUUGGGUGUAAAGGGUGCGUAGACGGGAAGACAAGUUAGUUGUGAAAUCCCUCGGCUUAACUGAGGAACUGCAACUAAAACUAUCAUUCUUGAGUGCUGGAGAGGAAAGUGGAAUUCCUAGUGUAGCGGUGAAAUGCGUAGAUAUUAGGAGGAACACCAGUGGCGAGGCGACUUUCUGGACAGUAACUGACGUUGAGGCACGAAAGUGUGGGGAGCAAACAGGAUUAGAUACCC
RNAcentral lists this ribosomal RNA (416 nucleotides) under uncultured bacterium. Its description in RNAcentral is "bacterial SSU rRNA". It matches the Rfam family "Bacterial small subunit ribosomal RNA", at positions 355 to 787 of the family's 1533-position model. The record is from RNAcentral.